Alligator sinensis (Chinese alligator) is the source of this 1026-nucleotide long non-coding RNA. RefSeq lists it as uncharacterized. The transcript is spliced from 4 exons. NCBI's taxonomy places the organism in Eukaryota, Metazoa, Chordata, Crocodylia, Alligatoridae. The record is from RefSeq and is a predicted model, not a curated record.
ACACUGGAUUAUAGCACCAAAACUGCAGUUCUCAGAUCUACCCUUCCCUUCCCUGCACUUGAGCUCUUUUGAACCCAUGAGCUUUCUUCUGAGCUCUGCUAAGAGAUGGCUGAUGGGAGAGGAGUCUAAAGCUGGCUGAUCAUGACCCCAGAAAUGAUACAGCAUCAUGUGAGGAACUCAUGUUUAAUUUGUUAUCUAUUGUCAGCCAUGAGGUUUUCCAGUACUGCAACUUUCCAGAGUCCAUCCUGGAAUUUCAGAGCUAUCACUGAAGGCUGGACAAGAGCAUUGUGGGAUGGUGCUGGAAGGACCAACUGCACCUGUCUUCAGGAGUGCAGCUGAAGCCAGUACAAGACCCAGUGACUUGCUCAGAGAAAAUGCAAUUGCAACAGCAGUUAGUGGGGCACUUCCAAAGAGUGGGCAAGACCAAGCCCUACUUAAAAUGAGCAACCCUCAACCCCUGCAUAUGAAUUAGGUGCAAGGGACCAGGGAGUGGUCCACCCCACAAGGAACUGGGGAGACUGACAGCCAGACUCCAGUGCCUGCAGUAACAGAUUCGGAUUUGUAAUGUAAAAGUUGGCAUUCUUUCAUCCUUAUGAAGGCAGUGGGGUCAGAUGCCAGCCUCCAUAGGACUCGUGAGCAAAGAUAGCUGGAUGAUGCUUUCUCUCUCCUGCAGAACUCUUCAGUCCUUAGUAAUUCCCUUAACAUUCCCUUAACAGCAUGCAUUUUACAUCACAUAUCUAUUAUUCAAACAUGUUUUGUUUAAGGCCCUUUGCCUGCUGUUUAUAAAAGCUUUGAUCACGUAGGUAAAACUCCCGUUUGCCUCCUGCAUGGAUCCAUAUUUAGCUUUGUUAUUCCCAAAGUACACGAUUAACUUCACUCAUUGCAAAGGAGCAUCACCACAUUGACAAUGUAGUCAUGAAUAAGAAUUUGUCCCUAUGCUACCAGAAGGCUGGUUGCUAACAGUUUUAACAGGCACUUAAGAAAGUUAAAUAGGCAGAAGUAUGGUUACAAAAUAAAACACACACA